This 1525-nucleotide ribosomal RNA is filed under the name uncultured bacterium. RNAcentral's name for it is "partial 16S ribosomal RNA". It matches the Rfam family "Bacterial small subunit ribosomal RNA". The record is from RNAcentral.
AACGAACGCUGGCGGCGUGGAUAAGACAUGCAAGUCGAGCGAGACCAUUUUUUCUUGUAGCAAUACAGGGAAAAGUCUAGCGGCGAACGGGUGCUUAACACGUGGGCAACCUGCCGAGAAGUGGGGGAUAGCUCGCCGCGGAAAGGCGAAUUAAUACCGCAUGUGAUCAGAGUGGACAUCCAUUCAAAAUUAAAGUCGGGGCAACCUGACGCUUCUGGAGGGGCCCGCGGCUCUCUAUCAGCUAGUUGGUGAGGUAACGGCCCACCAAGGCUUUGACGGGUAGCUGGUCUGAGAGGACGACCAGCCACACUGGGACUGAGACACGGUUGCCCAGACACCUACGGGUGGCAGCAGUCGAGAAUUUUUCUCAAUGGGGGAAACCCUGAAGGAGCGACGCCGCGUGGAGGAUGAAGGUCUUCUCAGGAUUGUAAACUCCUGUCAUUGGGGAACAAUGCGUAAAUAUUAACUGUAUUUGCGUUGAUAGUACCCGAAGAGGAAGAGACGGCUAACUCUAGAGUGCCAGCAGCCGCGGUAAUACAGAGGUCUCAAGCGUUGUUCGGAUUCAUUGGGCGUAAAGGGUGCGUAGGCGGCGCGGUAAGUCGGGUGUUGCGAAAUCUCGGAGCUUAACUCCGAAACUGCAUUCGAUACUGCCGUGCUUGAGGACUGGAGAGGAGACUGGAAUUUACGGUGUAGCGGUGAAAGCGUGCGUAGAUAUCGUAAGGAAGACCAGUGGCGAAGGCGACUUUCUGGUCUGUAACUGACACUGAGGCGCGAAAGCGUGGGGAGCAAACAGGAGUCUUAGAUACCCUGGUAGUCCACGCCGUAAACGAUGAGUGCUAAGUGUUAGAGGGUUUCCGCCCUUUAGUGCUACAGCUAACGCAUUAAGCACUCGUCCGCCUGGGGAGUACGGCCGCAAGGCUGAAACUCAAAGGAAUUGACGGGGGCCCGCACAAGCGGUGGAGCAUGUGGUUUAAUUCGAAGCAUGUACGCGAAGAACCUUACCAGGUCUUGACAUCCUCUGACAACCCUAGAGAUAGGGCUUUCCCCUUCGGGGGACAGAGUGACAGGUGGUGCAUGCCAGUUGUCGUCAGCUCGUGUCGUGAGAUGUUGGGUUAAGUCCCGCAACGAGCGCAACCCUUGAUCUUAGUUGCCAUCAUUAAGUUGGGCACUCCUGUAAGGUGACUGCCGGUGACAAACCGGAGGAAGGUGGGGAUGACGUCAAAUCAUCAUGCCCCUUAUGACCUGGGCUACACACGUGCUACAAUUUAGGACGGUACAAAGAGCUGCAAGACCGCGAGGUGGAGCUAAUCUCAUAAAACCGUUCUCAGUUCGGAUUGUAGGCUGCAACUCGCCUACAUGCAUAAGCUGGAAUCGCUAGUAAUCGCGGAUCAGCAUGCCGCGGUGAAUACGUUCCCGGGUCUUGUACACACCGCCCGUCACACCACGGGAGUUUCCUACAACACCCAAAGUCGGUGAGGUAACCGCAAGGAGCCAGCCGCCUAAGGUGGGGUAGAUAACUGGGGUG